AAAUAAGAAGCAAUAAAUUGCAUUUAAUUUCGACUUAAAAGAUAGAGUAAAACUAUACUCCUUAUUUA
Molecule: transfer RNA, 68 nt
Filed under: Monochroa sp.
Lineage: Eukaryota; Metazoa; Arthropoda; Insecta; Lepidoptera; Gelechiidae
Description: tRNA-Arg
Source: RNAcentral